Molecule: long non-coding RNA, 507 nt
Organism: Populus nigra (black poplar)
Lineage: Eukaryota; Viridiplantae; Streptophyta; Magnoliopsida; Malpighiales; Salicaceae
Exons: 3
Source: RefSeq, a predicted model, not a curated record
UGAGAGUGGAAGGGAAUUGGGUGAUAGAAUCAGCCUGAAUGAGCAAUUGCAAAAUCAUGCUGCUACAUUCAAUCGCUCGAUUCAAUUACUAGGGACUGAACAGGCAGCAACAAAUUACCUUAAUAAGUGCUUAUAUUAUGUCAGCUUGGGCACUAAUGAUUACAUAAACAACUACUUCGUGCCUGGUAAUUAUGAAACAAGUCGUUUAUAUACCCAAGAUCAAUAUGCCAAGGUUUUAAUUGACCAGUAUAGUCAGCAAAUAAAGCGUUUGUACCUCUUCGGAGCCAGGAAAAUUGCCUUGCCUGGACUUAUACCAUUAGGCAGCAUUCCUUACGCAUCUUCUACUCUAUGCCUCAAGAAUCUCUCUUGUGUGGCCAAUAUAAACAACGCAGUCCUACCUUUUAACGCAGGACUCUUUUCACUUGUUCAACAACUGAAUCAAGAGUUGAAUGACGCACGCUUUAUAUAUUUGAAUAUUUCUGGAAUGUCAUCUAGCGAUCCUUCUGU